This 519-nucleotide ribosomal RNA is filed under the name uncultured bacterium. Its description in RNAcentral is "partial 16S ribosomal RNA". It matches the Rfam family "Bacterial small subunit ribosomal RNA", at positions 29 to 523 of the family's 1533-position model. The record is from RNAcentral.
AACGAACGCUGGCGGCGUGCUUAACACAUGCAAGUCGAACGCGAAAGGGACUUCGGUCCCGAGUAGAGUGGCGCACGGGUGAGUAACGCGUAAGUAAUCUACCCCCGCAUUCGGAAUAACUCGUCGAAAGGUGAGCUAAUACCGGAUACGUUUAUCUUGAUGCGAAUGAUGAUAACGAAAGGUGGCCUCUUCAUGAAAGCUACUGUGCAGGGAUGAGCUUGCGUACCAUUAGCUAGUUGGUAGGGUAAUGGCCUACCAAGGCGACGAUGGUUAGCGGGUCUGAGAGGAUGAUCCGCCACACUGGAACUGGAACACGGACCAGACUCCUACGGGAGGCAGCAGUGAGGAAUAUUGCGCAAUGGGGGCAACCCUGACGCAGCGACGCCGCGUGGAUGAUGAAGGCCCUUGGGUCGUAAAAUCCUGUCAGAUGGAAAGAAAUGUAUGGGUGUUAAUAUCGCCUGUAUUUGACGGUACCAUCAAAGGAAGCACCGGCUAACUCCGUGCCAGCCGCCGCUGUAA